GGGCGUCGAGCGGCGGACGGGUGAGUAAUGCCUAGGAAAUUGCCUUGAUGUGGGGGAUAACCAUUGGAAACGAUGGCUAAUACCGCAUAAUGCCUACGGGCCAAAGAGGGGGAUCUUCGGACCUCUCGCGUCAAGAUAUGCCUAGGUGGGAUUAGCUAGUUGGUGAGGUAAUGGCUCACCAAGGCGACGAUCCCUAGCUGGUCUGAGAGGAUGAUCAGCCACACUGGAACUGAGACACGGUCCAGACUCCUACGGGAGGCAGCAGUGGGGAAUAUUGCACAAUGGGCGAAAGCCUGAUGCAGCCAUGCCGCGUGUAUGAAGAAGGCCUUCGGGUUGUAAAGUACUUUCAGUUGUGAGGAAGGGGGUAGUGUUAAUAGCGCUAUCUCUUGACGUUAGCAACAGAAGAAGCACCGGCUAACUCCGUGCCAGCAGCCGCGGUAAUACGGAGGGUGCGAGCGUUAAUCGGAAUUACUGGGCGUAAAGCGCAUGCAGGUGGUUCAUUAAGUCAGAUGUGAAAGCCCGGGGCUCAACCUCGGAACUGCAUUU
RNAcentral lists this ribosomal RNA (546 nucleotides) under bacterium 4873K4-B2. RNAcentral's name for it is "bacterial SSU rRNA". It matches the Rfam family "Bacterial small subunit ribosomal RNA", at positions 86 to 628 of the family's 1533-position model. The record is from RNAcentral.